CGAGACGUGGCUCAGCUUGGUAGAGCGCUUGGUUCGGGACCAAGAGGUCGCAGGUUCGAAUCCUGUCGUCUCGACCA
RNAcentral lists this transfer RNA (77 nucleotides) under Cohnella nanjingensis. RNAcentral's name for it is "tRNA-Pro". It matches the Rfam family "tRNA". From Rfam's summary of the family: Transfer RNA (tRNA) molecules are approximately 80 nucleotides in length. Their secondary structure includes four short double-helical elements and three loops (D, anti-codon, and T loops). Further hydrogen bonds mediate the characteristic L-shaped molecular structure. tRNAs have two regions of fundamental functional importance: the anti-codon, which is responsible for specific mRNA codon recognition, and the 3' end, to which the tRNAs corresponding amino acid is attached (by aminoacyl-tRNA synthetases). tRNAs cope with the degeneracy of the genetic code in two manners: having more than one tRNA (with a specific anti-codon) for a particular amino acid; and 'wobble' base-pairing, i.e. permitting non-standard base-pairing at the 3rd anti-codon position. The record is from RNAcentral. RNAcentral also lists the same sequence under 2 other names. Lineage: Bacteria; Bacillati; Bacillota; Bacilli; Caryophanales; Paenibacillaceae.